UACGGAGGGUGCGAGCGUUGUCCGGAAUCACUGGGCGUAAAGGGCGCGUAGGCGGCUGGGGAAGGCGGCGGUGAAAGCCCGGAGCUCAACUCCGGGUCGGCCGUCGAGACUCCUCGGCUCGAGCUCACUAGAGGCAGAUGGAAUUCCGGGUGUAGCGGUGGAAUGCGUAGAGAUCCGGAGGAACACCGGUGGCGAAGGCGGUCUGCUGGGGUGAGGCUGACGCUGAUGCGCGACAGCGUGGGGAGCAAACAGG
Molecule: ribosomal RNA, 253 nt
Filed under: uncultured bacterium
Lineage: Bacteria
Description: partial 16S ribosomal RNA
Rfam family: Bacterial small subunit ribosomal RNA
Source: RNAcentral